GGCUCAGUAACACGUGGAUAAUCUGCCCUUGGGUGGGGCACAGCCUCGGGAAACUGAGGGUCAUGCCCCAUAGGCCAGGAAUGCUGGAACGCUUCCUGACUUAAAGUUCCGACGCCCAAGGAUGAGUCUGCGGCCUAUCAGGUAGUAGUGGGUGUAACGUACCCACUCGCCGGUGACGGGUACGGGUCGUGAGAGCGAUCGCCCGGAGAUGGAUUCUGAGACAUGAAUCCAGGCCCUACGGGGCGCAGCAAGCGCGAAAACUUCGCAAUGUGGGCAACCACGACGAGGGAACUCCAAGUGCCAGCACCAUUGUGUUGGCUUUUCUUAUACCUAAAAAGUAUAAGGAAUAAGGGCUGGGUAAGACGGGUGCCAGCCGCCGCGGUAAUACCCGCAGCCCAAGUGGUGGUCGUUAUUAUUGGGCCUAAAACGUCCGUAGCCGGUUCAAUAAAUCUCUGGGUAAAUCGGGUGGCCUAACCAUUCGAAUUCCGGAGAGACUGUUGAACUUGGGAUCGGGAGAGGGUCGAGGUACUUCCGGGGGAGGGGUGAAAUCCUUUAAUCCUGGAAGGACCAUCAGUGGCGAAGGCGUCGACCUAGAACGACUCCGACGGUAAGGGACGAAGCCCUGGGGCGCAAACGGGAUUAGAUACCCCGGUAGUCCAGGGUGUAAACGCUGUGGGCUUGGUGUUGGCUGUCCUACGAGGGCAUUCAGUGCCGAAGAGAAGUUGUUAAGCCUACUGCCUGGGGAGUACGCUCGCAAGAGUGAAACUCAAAGGAAUUGACGG
This 782-nucleotide ribosomal RNA is filed under the name uncultured archaeon. Its description in RNAcentral is "bacterial SSU rRNA". It matches the Rfam family "Archaeal small subunit ribosomal RNA", at positions 87 to 871 of the family's 1478-position model. The record is from RNAcentral.